AUUGAGGAGAAGAUGGAGGCCGAUGCCCGUUCCAUCUAUGUUGGCAAUGUUGACUAUGGUGCAACAGCAGAAGAGCUGGAAGCUCACUUUCAUGGCUGUGGUUCAGUCAACCGUGUUACCAUACUCUGUGACAAAUUUAGUGGCCAUUCCAAAGGGUUUGCAUAUAUAGAGUUCUCAGACAAAGAGUCAGUGAGGACUUCCCUGGCCUUAGAUGACUCCCUAUUUAGAGGAAGGCAAAUCAAGGUGAUCCCAAAAUGAACCAACAGACCAGGAAUCAGCACAACAGAUCGGGGUUUUCCAGGAGCCCGCUACCAUGCCCGGACCACCAACUACAGCAGUUCCCUCUCUCGAUUCCACAGUGGUUUUAACAGCAGGCCCCGGGGUCACGUCUACAGAGGCCAGGCUAGAGCGACAUCAUGGUACUCCCCUUAC
RNAcentral lists this long non-coding RNA (432 nucleotides) under Homo sapiens (human). RNAcentral describes it as "non-protein coding lnc-ZMYM3-4:1". Lineage: Eukaryota; Metazoa; Chordata; Mammalia; Primates; Hominidae. The record is from RNAcentral.